AUUGAACGCUGGCGGCAGGCCUAACACAUGCAAGUCGAACGAGUGGCGGACGGGUGAGUAAUGUCUGGGAAACUGCCUGAUGGAGGGGGCUAACUACUGGAAACGGUAGCUAAUACCGCAUACCAUCAGAUGUGCCCAGAUGGGAUUAGCUAGUGGGUGGGGUAACGGCUCACCUAGGCGACGAUCCCUAGCUGGUCUGAGAGGAUGACCAGCCACACUGGGACUGAGACACGGUCCAGACUCCUACGGGAGGCAGCAGUGGGGAAUAUUGGACAAUGGGGGCAAGCCUGAUGCAGCCAUGCCGCGUGUAUGAUGAAGGCCUUCGGGUUGUAAAGUACUUUCGGCGGGGAGGCGGUACCCGCAGAAGAAGCACCGGCUAACUCCGUGCCAGCAGCCGCGGUAAUUC
RNAcentral lists this ribosomal RNA (406 nucleotides) under uncultured bacterium. Its description in RNAcentral is "partial 16S ribosomal RNA". It matches the Rfam family "Bacterial small subunit ribosomal RNA", at positions 30 to 526 of the family's 1533-position model. The record is from RNAcentral.